Molecule: ribosomal RNA, 917 nt
Filed under: uncultured bacterium
Lineage: Bacteria
Description: bacterial SSU rRNA
Rfam family: Bacterial small subunit ribosomal RNA
Source: RNAcentral
AGUUUGAUCCUGGCUCAGGAUGAACGCUAGCUACAGGCUUAACACAUGCAAGUCGAGGGGAAACGACAUUGGAAGCUUGCUUCCGAUGGGCGUCGACCGGCGCACGGGUGAGUAACGCGUAUCCAACCUGCCCACCACUUGGGAAUAACCUUGCGAAAGUAAGACUAAUGCCCAAUGACGUUGAAAGAAGACAUCUGAUUUCAACUAAAGAUUCAUCGGUGAUGGAUGGGGAUGCGUCCGAUUAGCUUGUUGGCGGGGUAACGGCCCACCAAGGCAACGAUCGGUAGGGGUUCUGAGAGGAAGGUCCCCCACAUUGGAACUGAGACACGGUCCAAACUCCUACGGGAGGCAGCAGUGAGGAAUAUUGGUCAAUGGGCGAGAGCCUGAACCAGCCAAGUAGCGUGCAGGAUGACGGCCCUAUGGGUUGUAAACUGCUUUUAUAAGGGAAUAAAGCGAGUCUCGUGAGACUUUUUGCAUGUACCUUAUGAAUAAGGACCGGCUAAUUCCGUGCCAGCAGCCGCGGUAAUACGGAAGGUCCGGGCGUUAUCCGGAUUUAUUGGGUUUAAAGGGAGCGUAGGCCGGAGAUUAAGCGUGUUGUGAAAUGUAGACGCUCAACGUCUGCACUGCAGCGCGAACUGGUUUCCUUGAGUACGCACAAAGUGGGCGGAAUUCGUGGUGUAGCGGUGAAAUGCUUAGAUAUCACGAAGAACUCCGAUUGCGAAGGCAGCUCACUGGAGCGCAACUGACGCUGAAGCUCGAAAGUGCGGGUAUCGAACAGGAUUAGAUACCCUGGUAGUCCGCACGGUAAACGAUGGAUGCCCGCUGUUGGUCUGAAUAGGUCAGCGGCCAAGCGAAAGCAUUAAGCGUCCCACCUGGGGAGUACGCCGGCAACGGUGAAACUCAAAGGAAUUGACGGA